GGCCCUGAGGUGUAUUUACAUAUUAGAUUGCAAAUCUGAGGUCGUGGAUUAGAAGUCUGCCGGGGCUU
This 68-nucleotide transfer RNA is filed under the name Rasbora trilineata (scissor-tailed rasbora). RNAcentral describes it as "tRNA-Cys". It matches the Rfam family "tRNA". Rfam says of the family: Transfer RNA (tRNA) molecules are approximately 80 nucleotides in length. Their secondary structure includes four short double-helical elements and three loops (D, anti-codon, and T loops). Lineage: Eukaryota; Metazoa; Chordata; Actinopteri; Cypriniformes; Danionidae. The record is from RNAcentral.